CCUUUGGAGUGUUAUAUCAAAUGUGAGUAGAAUACAAUGUAUUUGAAAACAGACACGUUGAAAAAGGAA
Molecule: non-coding RNA, 69 nt
Filed under: unclassified sequences
Description: RAGATH-18 RNA
Rfam family: RAGATH-18 RNA
About the family: Actinobacteria, Firmicutes, Fusobacteria, Thermotogae (1 example). Nearby to self-cleaving ribozyme genes
Source: Rfam by way of RNAcentral